UGUUGAUGGUGUAGGUGCAGUACAUAUUCCUAUCGUAACCACCAGGCUGUGACUCAAAGGUACCGGAGGUGCCGUUUAUGGUUGCAUUGCAGUAGACUGGAAUAAGUGCGAUUUGGAAAAGCACACGUCUGAACU
Molecule: long non-coding RNA, 135 nt
Organism: Haliotis rubra (blacklip abalone)
Lineage: Eukaryota; Metazoa; Mollusca; Gastropoda; Lepetellida; Haliotidae
Exons: 3
Source: RefSeq, a predicted model, not a curated record